Molecule: ribosomal RNA, 250 nt
Filed under: uncultured bacterium
Lineage: Bacteria
Description: partial 16S ribosomal RNA
Rfam family: Bacterial small subunit ribosomal RNA
Source: RNAcentral
UACGUAGGGUGCAAGCGUUAAUCGGAAUUACUGGGCGUAAAGCGUGCGCAGGCAGUUUUAUAAGUCAGAUGUGAAAUCCCCGAGCUCAACUUGGGAACUGCGUUUGAAACUGUAAGACUAGAGUGUGUCAGAGGGGGGUAGAAUUCCAAGUGUAGCAGUGAAAUGCGUAGAGAUUUGGAGGAAUACCAAUGGCGAAGGCAGCCCCCUGGGAUAACACUGACGCUCAUGCACGAAAGCGUGGGGAGCAAAC